AUCUCCUACAACUAAAAAGACCAAAACGUGGACAAACUUUUCGUGCGACAUUCUUCUCUCGCGGUUUCGUCCUGCCCCUGCGACGCGCAUCCCGCCCGGCUCUCUCUUCCGCUCGGAGCCCCGCUCCCAAAUCCGCCUCUCCUCGCCGCCCCCUCCGUCCCUCCCAGAUCCGCGUCGACGCAGAGCCCCCCCUCCCAGAUACUCCUCGGCCCUCCCGUAUCCUGCUCGGAGCCCCGCUCCCAAAUCCUCCUCGGCGCCCCCUCCCAGAUCCUCGUCGACGCUCCCCUCCCAGAUCCUCCUCGGCGCCGCCUCACCAACCCACGUUCGCCCGCAGAAGCCACCGCCGUCACGUCGUCUCUCCCCUCUGCAAUCUCCUCUGCUCGCCCUCACCCUCACAGUGGUACCGCUCGCCCUCGCAUUCGUUGUUAUCGUCUCCAUUGCACACGCUGGUGGUGGCGUCGCACUCGGCCCUCGCCCACACCCUAACCAUAACCACGCUGCUGCGGCGGGCAUCGUGAGCCGUGGCAGGGACGGGGCAAAGCGGCGUUUGAAGUGUCGGACCCAAGAUCUACGCGUCUCAAGUUGAAGUGAUGCGGCGGAUGCAGCGUCUUAGGGCAUCAUCGAUAGGGUGGUGCUAGAGGCAUCGUAUACCCGCCGGCGGCGGCCAACACCCACCAGGUAUUCGUACCCCUUCUCUCCCCUUCCUGUUUUCUGAAACCGAGCACAUGGAUAUUAUUUUUCUACUAUGAAUCGCUAGCUGCAGCUAGCAUCAGUCAAGGCAAUUGCUUGAAGUGUAUAAAAGUGUUUUUUCUGCAGUCGAUUAUAUUGAUGGUCUUAUUUUCUAUAGUUGUAAAUCCUACAAAUUAGCUAGACACAAACUUGUGUAUGAGGAAGUCGCAGAGCCUGUGCUUGAGGCAAGUCUUGCAUUCCAGAUGACACUAAUUAAUUUUGGUGUUUACCUAUGUCUGGUAAGUCUGUAGAAAUUGUGGUGUUGUAUCCGAUCUGUCCAAUUCUAAAAGUAAGAAGAAAGUUGAGGGAUCUUUGCUUCAAUUGCUUAGGGCACAUCAGGGGUUUCAAUGACUGAGUGUUUUUUUUCUGCAGUCCAUUUUGCUGAUGGUCUUUUUUUCUGUAGUUCAAGAGGCUGAACCUGAAGAAAAAUUAUUGGAGGCCUGACCAUACUACCAGAGAGCUGGAACAUCGCCACCAAGGUCCACUACCACGCCGCCAUCGAGGACCAAUGCCACAUCCGCUCAACCAUUGCUGAUACCAGGUGUUCCAACCCCCUUCUUUUUGCUUCCUGCUGUGCAAAAUCGGCCAACCCUAACUUUGUUGUGUAAUUAAUCUUACCUUUGUUGUGUUGUUGGAGAUGAUCGUGAGUCCAACAUAUUAGUUAGCUCAAUGUGUUGUCUGCAUCUGAGAAACAGAGAGAAGCAAUUUACAACGCAUUUGCACAAUCAACGAUUAAUUUCCUUUUUCACUGCACAAUGUGUUGUGACAAUUGUCUCUGUUAUUUGGAGAUACACAUUUCUUGAAAUAGCCAAACAGUGACUAGAGCCUUUCUUACUUAUGGAGAGAGAGGUCAUGCUUAGGGGGGAAGAGCUCAUGAUGCUUAGGAAGUUUGUUCAGUUGCAUUUGUGAAGUAUUUGGCUUACAAUUCUCUUAAAAUAGAAUGAACACUUGUUGGUCAUUUAUUGCUUUUUGCUCUUACUUUCUUUUUUGCUAUUACCUGUCUAUGGUUGAUUGCUUUAUACUCCGACCAUCACCGGCCCACAUCACCGGCCAUCUCUCCCACGCGGAACUCGGGCAGUCGCUGCCAUUGCUGAGGGUGUCGCCGUGAGGGGAAGCUGCGCCAUCACAGAUUGCCAGUGGGGAACAAACAAGACCUAGGAGUGGCGACGACAUCGCGUAAGCCGAGCGGUAGCGGCAACACGCAUUGUUGACGAGCGUUGAAGGCCACGCAUAGGCACCGAGGUUAAAUCUUGUGAUCUCAGAUGAGAACUUCACCUGUAAUUUUUAGUAUCUUAAAGCAUGUUUCUUUUUUUUAUGUUUUCUUGCCAAUACUGUCUGUAUUCUAUCAUUUUGAAGGCAAUAAUUUAAAGAAAUCUUAACUAUGUCCAGUUUUGGCUCAUGUUUUUACUAACACGUGUUCCCAAAUGAUUUUUUUCUUUGCUAGCAUGUGGGUGUUUAUAGUUUAAUUAUUUUUAUACUGUAGAAAAUACAAGAAGUGAGACAUUUGUGUCAUCAUCUCCUGUCUACUCUGUGGCAUAGUCACCCAGAAGCUGUAGGAAACCUUUAACACCUCGCCAAACACAGUAAGAAGGAGCGGUUUGCAGCUCCAUAUGUUUUAUUUGUUAAUAUUUGUGGUCAUGUACCUACUACUGUGGCUGUACAUUGGUUGAUUCCAUUCAUCAUCACAAAAAUAGUUUUCCUCCAAGCAACAUUGAUUGGCACACAAAGAAGCAAAAGCAUGGAUGCAAAGGACAUUACUCUGUCAAGCAGGUGAAGAGAUGAUGUACCAUGUAUGAUUAGUGGAUGGGUAGAUAAAAGAAAUUGGUAUAACUAUGUAAUGGCUGAUAUUUCGAUGAUGUGGCUUGAUGCGAGAGUAUAUUAGGUGAUAUAGAUUAUCAUUAUGAGCUACACUCUUAACAUUGUUUUUUUUGUAAUGAUACAGCAUACGUCAAACUUGAGUUAUAAUGUUAAUUUCAUGAACAUUGCUUUUUA
Sorghum bicolor (sorghum) is the source of this 2721-nucleotide long non-coding RNA. RefSeq lists it as uncharacterized. Lineage: Eukaryota; Viridiplantae; Streptophyta; Magnoliopsida; Poales; Poaceae. The record is from RefSeq and is a predicted model, not a curated record. The transcript is spliced from 4 exons.